Molecule: long non-coding RNA, 251 nt
Organism: Rhodamnia argentea
Lineage: Eukaryota; Viridiplantae; Streptophyta; Magnoliopsida; Myrtales; Myrtaceae
Exons: 2
Source: RefSeq, a predicted model, not a curated record
AUACCAAUCUCAGUUACGGGAACUAUUGAGGAGAAAUCGGCAUGAGUGGGAGCAUUCCAUCUUUCACAACGGUCAGAAUGUUUUAUAGAUGUACUCAAAUACUAGAUAUACCAUAGGACUAUAACCACAGAAACUAGUUGACAGAAUCAAGGAAAGACAGUGGAUAAAUCGGCAAACGACUUAUCAUUUAAACAGCUCAAGGUUCAAGAUUUACGCACCUCAAGAAUUGCAAUGUAGCAACGUAUUCUGGA